RNAcentral lists this non-coding RNA (422 nucleotides) under Ceratocystis platani. Its description in RNAcentral is "Eukaryotic large subunit ribosomal RNA". It matches the Rfam family "Eukaryotic large subunit ribosomal RNA", at positions 2555 to 2802 of the family's 3401-position model. The record is from Rfam by way of RNAcentral. Lineage: Eukaryota; Fungi; Ascomycota; Sordariomycetes; Microascales; Ceratocystidaceae.
GUGGCCGACGUGUACGUACGCGGUAUGCCUUCGGGCACUUUGUACGUAAUAGUAUGCCGCGUACACCUGAUAGCGUAGAAAUACGCUACACUGAGCUAUACAAUGAUAGUACAGGACACUUUCAGAAUGGGAGUUUGGCUGGGGUGUCACACCUGUUAUAAUGCAACACAGGUGUCCCAAGGUCAGCUCCGUGAGAACAGAAACCUCUCAUAGAGUAUAAGGGCAAAAGCUGUCUUAAUCUAUGUACUUUCAGUACCAGUACACAAUGAUAAUCAAAUAGAACCCGGCGGUUUCGGCCGCAGGGUUCUUGUGUGUGAAAGCACGGCCUAGCGAUCCUUUAGUAUACGCAUGAAUUUUAUUGUGCAUUAUGACCCAACGCGGCACCGCCGGCGCGACGUACUUACAGUACAUUGCGCCUAACG